Molecule: non-coding RNA, 402 nt
Organism: Sinocyclocheilus rhinocerous
Lineage: Eukaryota; Metazoa; Chordata; Actinopteri; Cypriniformes; Cyprinidae
Source: the annotation of a RefSeq genome assembly
ACAACUACAAUGACAUUCAUCAUCUUCUUAAUCUUAGGGAUGUAUCUUCAAGAUUCUGCGGGACAGGUGACUGUAAUUCAGACUCCAACAGAGAAACAUGUUCAGAACGGACAAACAGUCACUCUGACCUGUAAAACCAGCAGCUCCAUUGGACGCCAGUCAGACGGUGACUGUAAGUCUUGUGUUUCCUGGUACCUACAGAAAUCUGGAGAAACUCCUAAACUUUUAGUUCACAGCAUCAAAACCCUUCAUACUGGAACUCCAUCAAGAUUCAGUGGCAGUGGAGCUGAUCAUGGAACUGAUUUCACUCUGACCAUCAGUGGAGUCCAGACUGAAGACACAGGAGAUUAUUACUGUCAGAGUGAACACUAUAUCAGUAAUAGCUGGGUGUUCACACAGUGA